This 281-nucleotide ribosomal RNA is filed under the name uncultured Pseudomonadales bacterium. Its description in RNAcentral is "partial 16S ribosomal RNA". It matches the Rfam family "Bacterial small subunit ribosomal RNA", at positions 504 to 784 of the family's 1533-position model. Lineage: Bacteria; Pseudomonadati; Pseudomonadota; Gammaproteobacteria; Pseudomonadales. The record is from RNAcentral.
UGUGCCAGCAGCCGCGGUAAUACGAAGGGUGCAAGCGUUAAUCGGAAUUACUGGGCGUAAAGCGCGCGUAGGUGGUUUGUUAAGUUGGAAGUGAAAGCCCCGGGCUCAACCUGGGAACUGCUUUCAAAACUGGCAAGCUAGAGUAUGGCAGAGGGUGGUGGACUUUCCUGUGUAGCGGUGAAAUGCGUAGAUAUAGGAAGGAACACCAGUGGCAAAGGCGACCACCUGGGCUAAUACUGACACUGAGGUGCGAAAGCGUGGGGAGCAAACAGGAUUAGAUA